This is a long non-coding RNA of Oncorhynchus tshawytscha (Chinook salmon), 1672 nucleotides long. The record is from Ensembl. Lineage: Eukaryota; Metazoa; Chordata; Actinopteri; Salmoniformes; Salmonidae.
CUUGUUGAGACCUAGUUAGGUCUUAAUUUAUGCUGCACCUCGUUUGCUUUAGCUAUUUUGGGUUACGAAUGAACUUGGCUAGCGAUUUUUCUCCCGGUUUUAUUUCGAGGAUUAAUUUAGUGGAAUAAGCAUAGUUAGUAACAAGGGGUUCAGAUGGCACCACCAGGCUGACUAGCUGUUCUGGCCUGUAGAGGCGGCUGUAGGAAGUCCGUGAUGUGAAGCUGCCAUCACGUCGUCAGGAGUCUGUCAGUCUGAGACCAUGUGACCUGCAUUGGACUGCCCUCCACCCCAUCCCUCAGACUCUCAAUGCCGCAGUCUGGUUGGUCAAUCUGAGACCAUGUGACCUGCAGUGAUCCCCCAGCCCUCUGGUUCCAUAGAUGGGAAGGGCUUCCCACCACAAUGGCUGCCCAUCCUGUGGUUUCUGUGUUUCAGAACCAGAAGGGUGCUGAUUGACUUCAAUCAUGUUGAAGGGGUGGUUACUACCCACAGCUGGUGUUAUCCAAUACAUAAUGGGCUGCACACCUGGGCUGCAGUCCAAACACUUAAGAUGCACCCUACCCCCUUCAGCCCCCAUUAAGUGGACACUUCUGAUAACCUAUAAUGCUGCCUGACGAGUAUAUACUUGCAGGGCAAAGAAGCAUUUUUAAAAUGGCUGCCCUUACCUGGAAAUCCGCCGUUCGCCCCGCGAUUGUCUUUUAGCCACCGGUAGCUUUUGGGUGUUAUGUGCUACAGUCAAUUAUGAUUCCAUGUCUAAAAAAUAUCUUAAUGUGAAAUGUAUACACUUACUGUAUGUCAGCUAGCAAAUUAAUUAGUUACCUACCGUUAGCCUGUCUAGCUGGAACAUCUGAAGAUAGAUGUAGUAAUACAAUUUCCACACGCUAACCAAAUAGUACUUUAUGAGAUGUUUGUACUGUCAUGUGCAUUAGUACAAUUUAGAACUUAUUUACGUUUGUUUUUACUUUCACUUGUAAGUUGACCACUAAAACGAGGGCUGAGGGGCUUACGGUGCAAGCUUCCCUUGCUUGGCUAAUAAUUUGUACUGCCUGCCAAGAUGGUGAUGUUAUUCCCCCAAGGGCAUAAAGUGAGGGUUUUUGGUUUGGGCUGUGUCCCUGUACUAAUGUCCAGUUGUAUAUAGUGAAGUGCCACAAAGGACACAGGCAAAUUAGUUGGCCCGGAACAGGGCAGCGCGACUGGCAAGAGUAGUGUAUUUAUGUGGGUUGUAGUUUUAUUACUUAAUUACUAUUUUGUUUACCAUUUCUGUUAUCCUCACCCUGCCUGUAUCUGGACCCUACAGUCUGCAGCAGUAUCAUAUAUAUGUAUAGUGUCAAGACCUUGGGUCUUUUGUUCUGUUAAGGUAGUCAAUAAAGUUUUUACAAUGUGUUCUGGUAGUUUGUGUGAAUGUGAUUGGCUGCUAGUUCCUGUUUUGGUCACAGUUCUGUGAUUAUGACAGAUCACUGCAAGCUGUCUCGGUAAUAGUUGCUGUUGGCAGUACUGACUUACCAGUAGGGGUCACUAAAGUAUCGCCAUGUACAUGUCCACCAGCUGGCUCUAGCAAUUUUGUCUCGGUGAGGUUUAAUAAAUGCCUUUUAAAGUUGUCUGGUUAAACUAUCAAAAGGAUACAAUAAGUCUGACCCUGUUGCUUAGGUACAGAACAGGAGCCCUACACCAACCU